UGGGGAAUCUUGGACAAUGGGGGCAACCCUGAUCCAGCGAUGCCGCGUGGGUGAAGAAGGCCUUCGGGUUGUAAAGCCCUUUAGGCUGGGAAGAAGAGUGCGGGGUGAAUAAUCCUGUACUUUGACGGUACCAGCAGAAUAAGCACCGGCAAACUCUGUGCCAGCAGCCGCGGUAAUACAGAGGGUGCAAGCGUUAAUCGGAUUUACUGGGCGUAAAGGGCGCGUAGGCGGUGAUGUGAGUGUGAUGUGAAAGCCCCGGGCUUAACCUGGGAAGUGCAUCGCAAACGACAUGACUGGAGUAGAUGAGAGGGUGGCGGAAUUUCCGGUGUAGCGGUGAAAUGCGUAGAGAUCGGAAGGAACGUCAAUGGCGAAGGCAGCCACCUGGCAUCAUACUGACGCUGAGGCGCGAAAGCGUGGGGAGCGAACA
This 427-nucleotide ribosomal RNA is filed under the name uncultured Aquicella sp. Its description in RNAcentral is "partial 16S ribosomal RNA". It matches the Rfam family "Bacterial small subunit ribosomal RNA", at positions 355 to 774 of the family's 1533-position model. The record is from RNAcentral. Lineage: Bacteria; Pseudomonadati; Pseudomonadota; Gammaproteobacteria; Legionellales; Coxiellaceae.